This 273-nucleotide non-coding RNA is filed under the name Phascolarctos cinereus (koala). Lineage: Eukaryota; Metazoa; Chordata; Mammalia; Diprotodontia; Phascolarctidae. The record is from RNAcentral.
GCUAUAAUCCUUGCUGCUGUGGGAAGCUGAAGCUAGUGGAUCACUCCAGCUUAGGAAUUCUGAACUGCAAUAGGCUAAAGGCAGAUUGAGUGUCUGCACAAUGCCUGGUACCAACAUGGUGAGCCCCCAGGAAUGGAGGGCCACCAAGCUGCCUAAAGAGGAACAAAUUGGCCCAGGUGGGAAAAAUUAAGUAGGUGAAGGCUUUCCUUUGAUUCAGUAGGCCUGUGAGUAGUGCUGCACUUCAAGCCUGGGCAAGAUAGGGAGACCCAGUCC